GAUGAACGCUGGCGGCGUGCCUAAUACAUGCAAGUCGAGCGAACGGACGAGAAGCUUGCUUCUCUGAUGUUAGCGGCGGACGGGUGAGUAACACGUGGAUAACCUACCUAUAAGACUGGGAUAACUUCGGGAAACCGGAGCUAAUACCGGAUAAUAUUUUGAACCGCAUGGUUCAAAAGUGAAAGACGGUCUUGCUGUCACUUAUAGAUGGAUCCGCGCUGCAUUAGCUAGUUGGUAAGGUAACGGCUUACCAAGGCAACGAUGCAUAGCCGACCUGAGAGGGUGAUCGGCCACACUGGAACUGAGACACGGUCCAGACUCCUAAGGGAGGCAGCAGUAGGGAAUAUUCCGCAAUGGGCGAAAGCCUGACGGAGCAACGCCGCGUGAGUGAUGAAGGUCUUCGGAUCGUAAAACUCUGUUAUUAGGGAAGAACAUAUGUGUAAGUAACUGUGCACAUCUUGACGGUACCUAAUCAGAAAGCCACGGCUAACUACGUG
This 497-nucleotide ribosomal RNA is filed under the name uncultured bacterium. RNAcentral describes it as "partial 16S ribosomal RNA". It matches the Rfam family "Bacterial small subunit ribosomal RNA", at positions 28 to 507 of the family's 1533-position model. The record is from RNAcentral.